CAGGACAGACAGUCGCCGCGUAUCGCGUAAGGCAUACGGGGAGGAAAGUCCGGGCUGCACAGGGCAGGAUGCCGGCUAACGGCCGGGCGCGGCAACGCGACGGAAAGUGGAACAGAAAGCAAAACCGCCGAUGGCAGCCUGAAAAGGCGGCACAGGCAAGGGUGAAAAGGUGCGGUAAGAGCGCACCGUGCACUUGGCAACAAGGCGCAGCAGGCCAAACCCCAUCCGCAGCAAGACCAAACAGAACGCACAGACGCGGCCCGCCGAGCGUUCGGGUAGGUUGCUCGAGCACACCGGCAACGGUGCGCCUAGAUGAAUGACUGUCCGACGACAGAACCCGGCUUACCGUCCGGCCUG
Molecule: RNase P RNA, 357 nt
Filed under: human oral metagenome
Description: Bacterial RNase P class A
Rfam family: Bacterial RNase P class A
About the family: Ribonuclease P (RNase P) is a ubiquitous endoribonuclease, found in archaea, bacteria and eukarya as well as chloroplasts and mitochondria. Its best characterised activity is the generation of mature 5'-ends of tRNAs by cleaving the 5'-leader elements of precursor-tRNAs.
Source: RNAcentral